Molecule: long non-coding RNA, 491 nt
Filed under: Ornithorhynchus anatinus (platypus)
Lineage: Eukaryota; Metazoa; Chordata; Mammalia; Monotremata; Ornithorhynchidae
Description: lncRNA (ENSOANG00000038442.1)
Source: RNAcentral
CACCGAUGCAGCCUGAAGGAUGGCUUCUCCCUUUCUGCUUCCCAACCAAAAAAUAAUGGAUUCUCUCCCCAUCUGUCUGCCUCGGAGACAUCAGAGAUCACUAACGUUUCUCCUCACCCACCUUCCUUCCACGCAGACUGAGAUCCUGGUGGUCUUGGGAGAGGAAGAUGCCAGGAGAGGGAUUGGUGGAAGAGCACUUUACCCCCUUGUGAUCCUCAGAGACGGAUUCCUCCAAAUGAUAAACAUCAGUUCCUGAUCUGCCUCUCCCUUGGGGAUAAGUGAAAACUGCAGGAGAAGGAAGGCCCUAAAGGUGGAUAGAGUCCUUCCUGCUGGCCCCUGCCUAGUUUCUGCUCUCAACGGUUCAGGAGGCCUUAAGGAGAGGUAGGAUAUCUAGUCAUGGCUUUCUCCUAUCCACCAUCCCACAACCUCUCUCCAGGUAUGUGAACUAUGGUAGGAGAAGUGAUGCGUCUGCCAAUGUGAAAGGUGGGAAA